RNAcentral lists this ribosomal RNA (233 nucleotides) under uncultured bacterium. RNAcentral describes it as "partial 16S ribosomal RNA". It matches the Rfam family "Bacterial small subunit ribosomal RNA", at positions 100 to 334 of the family's 1533-position model. The record is from RNAcentral.
CGGCACGGGUGAGUAAUACAUCGGAACGUGUCUUCUAGUGGGGGAUAACUGCCCGAAAGGGCAGCUAAUACCGCAUGAGACCUGAGGGUGAAAGCGGGGGAUCGUAAGACCUCGCGCUGGAAGAGCGGCCGAUGUCCGAUUAGCUAGUUGGUGAGGUAAAGGCUCACCAAGGCGACGAUCGGUAACUGGUCUGAGAGGACGACCAGCCACACUGGGACUGAGACACGGCCCAG